UAACGAACGCUGGCGGCAGGCUUAACACAUGCAAGUCGAGCGCCCAGCAAUGGGAGCGGCGGACGGGUGAGUAACACGUGGGAACAUGCCCUUCGGUACGGGACAACGCAGGGAAACUUGAGCUAAUACCGCAUACGCCCUAACGGGGAAAGAUUUAUCGCCGAAGGAUUGGCCCGCGUCUGAUUAGCUAGUUGGUGAGGUAACAGCUCACCAAGGCUUCGAUCAGUAGCUGGUUUGAGAGAGCGACCAGCCACACUGGGACUGAGACACGGCCCAGACUCCUACGGGAGGCAGCAGUGGGGAAUCUUGGACAAUGGGGGAAACCCUGAUCCAGCCAUGCCGCGUGAGUGAUGAAGGCCCUAGGGUUGUAAAACUCUUUCGGCGGGGACGAUAAUGACGGUACCCGCAGAAGAAGCUCCGGCUAACUUCGUGCCAGCAGCCGCGGUAAUACGAAGGGGGCUAGCGUUGUUCGGAAUUACUGGGCGUAAAGCGUGCGCAGGCGGCUCAUCAAGUCAGGGGUGAAAGCCCGGGGCUCAACUCCGGAAUUGCCUUUGAAGCUGGUGGGCUUGAGUGCGGGAGAGGUGAGUGGAAUUCCCAGUGUAGAGGUGAAAUUCGUAGAUAUUGGGAAGAACACCGGUGGCGAAGGCGGCUCACUGGCCCGUUUCUGACGCUCAUGCACGACAGCGUGGGGAUCAAACAGGAUUAGAUACCCUGGUAGUCCACGCCGUAAACGAUGGACGCUAGCCGUUGGCCAGCUUGCUGGUCAGUGGCGCAGCUAACGCAUUAAGCGACCCGCCUG
Molecule: ribosomal RNA, 799 nt
Filed under: uncultured bacterium
Lineage: Bacteria
Description: bacterial SSU rRNA
Rfam family: Bacterial small subunit ribosomal RNA
Source: RNAcentral